Molecule: non-coding RNA, 536 nt
Organism: Pelobates cultripes (western spadefoot toad)
Lineage: Eukaryota; Metazoa; Chordata; Amphibia; Anura; Pelobatidae
Source: the annotation of a GenBank genome assembly
GUUACUGUGUCCUUUAUACCAAGUAGGGAUGUGCAUGGGAAAAAUAUUCAGUUCGGCAUUCCGAAAUUCGGGACUUCGGCACGGCACUUUGACACUUCAGAACUUCGGGUAAGUGUAGGGGUAGGGUUAGGUUAGCGGUAGGGUUAGGGUUGGUUUAGGGUUAGAGGUAGGGUUGGGUUAAGGGUAGGGUUAGGAAUAGGGUUACCCUACCCCAGCCCUUAACCCUACCAACUAAGCUGACCCCAAAACCUAACCCUACCACCCUACUCCAACCACUAACCCAACCCUUAACUCUACCCCUAAUCCUAACCUUGCCCCUAAUCCUACCCUAAUCCUAAUGCUACCCCAACCCUCUCCUGCUUUGCCACUUUUCAGAAAUCCAAAGCAGUUCGGCACUUCCAAAAUUCGGAAGCACCCGAAUGUCCGAAAUUUGUCAGAAUUUGCAUUCGGAAUGAAACGAAUUGCACAUGUCUAAUACCCAGUGAGUACAGAAUGUAUACAGGUUAAUAGUUACUGGAUCCUUUAUACCCAGUGAG